AAGUCGAACGAGGAAAGCACCUCUCGGGUGCCGUACUAGUGGCGCACCGGUGAGUAACGCGUGGAUAAUCUGCCCUCUGGCGGGGAAUAACCAGUCGAAAGAUUGGCUAAUACCGCAUAAGACCACAGUCUCUGAGGAGAUAGUGGUUAAAGAUUUAUCACCAGGGGAUGAGUCCGCGUCCGAUUAGCUUGUUGGUGGGGUAAUGGCCUACCAAAGCUACGAUCGGUAGCUGGUCUGAGAGGAUGAUCAGCCACACUGGAACUGAGACACGGUCCAGACUCCUACGGGAGGCAGCAGUAGGGAAUAUUGCGCAAUGGGGGAAACCCUGACGCAGCGACGCCGCGUGAGUGAUGAAGGCCUUCGGGUUGUAAAGCUCUGUUCUACAGGAACAAAAAAAUGAGGGUACUGUAGAAGAAAGGACCGGCUAACUCCGUGCCAGCAGCCGCGGUAAUACGGGGGGUCCUAGCGUUGUUCGGAAUCAUUGGGCGUAAAGCGGGUGUAGGCGGACCUGUAAGUCAGAAGUGAAAGCCCCGGGCUCAACCCGGGAAGUGCUUUUGAUACUGCAGAUCUUGAGUGUGGGAGAGGGUAGUAGAAUUCCUGGUGUAGUGGUGAAAUACGUAGAUAUCAGGAGGAACACCGGUGGCGAAGGCGGCUGCCUGGCCCAACACUGACGCUCAGACCCGAAAGCGUGGGUAGCAAACAGGAUUAGAUACCCUGGUAGUCCACGCCGUAAACACUGGAUACUUGUUGUUGGAGGUAUUGACCCCUUCAGUGACGGAGCUAACGCGUUAAGUAUCCCGCCUGGGGAGUACGGCCGCAAGGUUAAAA
Molecule: ribosomal RNA, 828 nt
Filed under: uncultured bacterium
Lineage: Bacteria
Description: bacterial SSU rRNA
Rfam family: Bacterial small subunit ribosomal RNA
Source: RNAcentral